This is a long non-coding RNA of Oncorhynchus tshawytscha (Chinook salmon), 1985 nucleotides long. Lineage: Eukaryota; Metazoa; Chordata; Actinopteri; Salmoniformes; Salmonidae. The record is from Ensembl.
GGAGUGGGCAGUGGGGUUGGUUGGAAGAGAACUGACAGUUGGAGGAGUGGAGGUGGGCAGUGGGGUUGGUUGGUAGAGAACUGACAGUUGGAGGAGUGGAGGUGGGCAGUGGGGGUUGGUUGGUAGAGAACUGACAGUUGGAGGAGUGGAGGUGGGCAGUGGGGUUGGUUGAUACAGAACUGACAGUUGGAGGAGUGGAGGUGGGCAGUGGGGUUGGUUGGUAGAGAACUGACAGUUGGAGGAGUGGAGGUGGGCAGUGGGGUUGGUUGGUAGAGAACUGACAGUUGGAGGAGUGGAGGUGGGCAGUGGGGGUUGGUUGGUAGAGAAUUGACAGUUGGAGGAGUGGAGGUGGGCAGUGGGGGUUGGUUGGUAGAGAACUGACAGUUGGAGGAGUGGGGGUGGGCAGUGGGGUUGGUUGGUAGAGAACUGACAGUUGGAGCAUCCUGGCUGGGGGAGCCCAAGGACCAAAGGACAACCGCUCGUCUCCCACAGACGGAGAGGAGGCAUAUGCUCGAGGAGUGAGCAUUGGGAAGAUGGAUGGACUUUUAUUUUUUAAGAAAUACAUAAACAGGGGGCACCACCUACCCACACCCUUACUAGAGCCUUGCAAUUCUUGGUGAAAGGUAGGGCAACAAUCUUAAAGGGGGGGUUCAGUAUUUUACAACUUUUACAACUAAAAGUUCAAUGGUUCUACACCGUUUAAGCAGCCUAUGAGCCAAAAGCAAUUGUAAUCCACGGGUUGGUUUUCUUUACAAAGCCACUUUAGUCACUAGAAAAAAAUCUGCCCGACAAUGUACUGCCUGUUGAAGACAUGUCUGUCUCUUCCACCACAGGAACUAUGCUCAUAAGACUAAUUUAUCCUCCAUGGUUACAAUAUGUGGAAUUGUGGCACCACUACACACUCAAGGUUACACAGUUCUAGAACUGGCAUUUUGGAGAAUUAAUUCAUCCUUGUGAGACCUCCCUCUCUGUCGGACUCCACUAUCCCUACCCCUUCCGAAAUUUGAAUGACUGAUUUUCUUUUUGUGUGAAGAGGCUAUAGUUUGUAUAUUUUUGGUCGUUCAAACGUGUUUGAUUUUGUGUUUGAUUUUAAGUUGACAUUAAGCACAUUCACAAAGGAUGUUGUUCCACUCAUUUUGUGUUAGAUUUAACGCGGCAUGCUCACUUCCGUUUACAAAUGGAGGAUAACACAAUUGGGUUUCUGAGCAGCUAGAUUAGUGAUGAAACAACAGGAUAGACGUUUCUGAUUUAGAAUAUUUUUUUAUGACGUUUAAACAAACUGACGAUGCAGAUAUCUGUGUUAAAGCCUGAGUAUAUUCACCUGUCCUUAUUUGAAGAGGUCACUCUCACCAAAAGCUGAGGUACUGUAAGUAUGUGACUGGAAACAACGAAAGUAAGGCAAAAUGUCACUAUGCCUUUAUCUUCUUGUCACAUUCUCAAACAUCUUGUUAUACUUGGACUUUGACUGUAUUGUACAAAAAAAUGUUUCCUUAAAGGUGAAGCGCUUCACUGUUUCUUAAUGCAAACAUCAAGUCACAGCAAGACCCAACUGAAGAAUAAGAGGAAUGGGUUCCAUCAAAUCUUUAGCGAAAAGUAAUGUCAUACAAAUAUGAACUAUAUACUGAGAAAACACUGCUGUAUUUUUAUCCUAGUUCUUUUAUAUACUGAGGAAAAUCUAAACUUUUGUCUCUUAUUGUUGUAAAUUAUGUCAGAAAUGAUUUGACAGUAGUUCUUUGCUGGGUUGUUCGAUAUCUGCAUUAGUUUGCACUGUUUUCACAUUCUAUUUUCAGUGACGCUGGACAUUUCUUAUGUUGAUACUGUUCAUACAAGGUUUUGCAUAGAAAGCAAGAGUUCAAAAAUAUGCAAUAACAACCGCACUGUAUAGAGGAUUCUACACAAACACAACCUUGUUGUUAUUGAACUGUAAAUAUGUGUUAAAAAAAAAUGUCGGGAGAUUCUUAUAAUAAAAACACUGAGAAAACUGA